This 500-nucleotide ribosomal RNA is filed under the name uncultured Glomeromycotina. RNAcentral describes it as "SSU rRNA". It matches the Rfam family "Eukaryotic small subunit ribosomal RNA", at positions 591 to 1092 of the family's 1831-position model. Lineage: Eukaryota; Fungi; Glomeromycota. The record is from RNAcentral.
CCAAUAGCGUAUAUUAAAGUUGUUGCAGUUAAAAAGCUCGUAGUUGAAUUUCGGGAUCAAUAUGUCGGUCGUGCCUUCGGUACGUACUGGUAUCAUUGGUCUCUCCUUUCUGACGAACCAUGAUGUCAUUAAUUUGGUGUUAUGGGGAGUUAGGACUGUUACUUUGAAAAAAUUAGAGUGUUUAAAGCAGGCUUUAGCUUGAAUACAUUAGCAUGGAAUAAUGAAAUAGGACGUUCGAACCUAUUUUGUUGGUUUCUAGGAUCAACGUAAUGAUUAAUAGGGAUAGUUGGGGGCAUUAGUAUUCAAUUGUCAGGGGUGAAAUUCUUGGAUUUAUUGAAGACUAACUACUGCGAAAGCAUUUGCCAAGGAUGUUUUCAUUAAUCAAGAACGAAAGUUAGGGGAUCGAAGACGAUCAGAUACCGUCGUAGUCUUAACCAUAAACUAUGCCGACUAGGGAUCGGAUGAUGUUAAUUUUUUAAUGACUCAUUCGGCGCCUUACG